Molecule: ribosomal RNA, 468 nt
Filed under: uncultured bacterium
Lineage: Bacteria
Description: partial 16S ribosomal RNA
Rfam family: Bacterial small subunit ribosomal RNA
Source: RNAcentral
GACGAACGCUGGCGGCGUGCCUAAUACAUGCAAGUCGAACGGAAAGGCCCUGCGUUUGUGGGGCGCUCGAGAGGCGAACGGGUGAGUAACACGCGUGUAACCUGCCCUUGUCUUUGGGAUAAAUUCAGGAAACUGGGGCGAAUACCGGAUAGGAGCUCUUGCUGCAUGGUGGGGGUUGGAAAGUUUCGGCGGUUGGGGAUGGACUGGCGGCUUAUCAGCUGGUUGGUGGGGUAGUGGCUUACCAAGGGUUUGACGGGUAGCCGGCCUGGGAGGGUGACCGGGCACCUGAGGACUGAGGUAGGGCGCAGAAGGCAAUGGGAGGCAGCGGUGGAGAGUAUUACGCAGUGGGGGGGCGCGAGAUACGGAGGUCCCGGGUUCGUGAUAACGUCCUUCUAGUGGUAAACCACUGUGGCCUGUAACAAGGCGUGAGUGACGGUAAUGAGUAAAGAAGCACCGGCUAACUACGUG